CCCAUCUGCUGCCCCGUGUGUGACCCGAGCCCAGCUCCCCGGGGCCCUGCCUGUGACUCCAACCCUGACCCAGGCCACACACCCAGGCCUCCUCGGUCUCCCUCUGCGGCUCCUCCCACCAACCCUGAGGUCCAAGAGGGCACCCCCGUGUAGCAGGCUCGCCGAGCACACACAGACACCUAUGUGUGCCACAGAGGGGGCCCCCAGGGGCUGCAUGUCCACGGCCAAAGCCACGCUGGCGGCCCGGAGCCUCCCCCGCAGGAGGCGUCCACGCUGGUGGUCAGUGGGAGCAACAGCAUGCUUGGCACAGCAGCAUGGGGUGCACAUUCGCCCAGCGGGUGGCCGCACCAGGGCCCCCGAAGCUUUCUACAUCUUGUUCGGCCUCAUUUUCCACGGUGCCCUGUGUCCAACUCCAAACCCCAAAGGCUCUGAAGACCAAAGCUGUUUUGCAUUUGUGGUUUUGCACGUGGGGAACUCGUUUGGCAGAGGAAGCAGAGCUGAAGACAAAACCCACUUGGUGCGGAUCGGUGUUUUCUUGUGGGGAGGAGUAGAACUGGGGAGGAAACCCAGGCCUCGCGCGGAGCAGCACCCCACUCCUUUCUGUUUUUCCUUUUCUUUCUGUUCUUUUGAGACAAGAUUCUGCUACAUAGUCCAGGCCGGCCUUGAACUAGUGAGGGUCCUUCUGCCUCAGCCUCCUGAGUACUAGGAUUACAGGCACACAACACGCCCGGCUUAUUUUCUUUUGACAAGGUCUCACUGAAUUCCCCAGACAAGACUCAAACUUGACACCCUCCUGCCUCAGCCUCCCUCAGUGCUGGGUUAAUAAGUGUGCACUACCACACCCAGCUAGAACCUGUGUUUCCUUUAAGAUUUUUCAGGGUGGAUAAAUGGGUCUUUGUGUGGAGGGAAAAAGUGGGGCGACUUUAAUGACUGACUUGUUCUCCUACCUCCUACGGGCUCUCAGUUGGUUUAGUGCAUUCUCCAGCCGACUAGGAGCCUGUGCGCCUCUCACACAAGUGCUCAGGCCCCUCAAGCAGCAGCUCGGCCCUCUCUAUGUCUGCAGCUCUCCACGGCUUAGCUCUGUGGCUCCUGCCCCACCCCACUGGUCUGCGCCCCUGCUGUUCCGUCCUCAGCCUCUCGAUCACUCUAGUGCCCCGUCCCCUCUGCUGCCCACCUGAUCCAUCACAGCGGGACACACUGCCCCGUGACAGCUGUGACGAAGCUGCAGCCUGCCAUGCCCACGUGGGUUCAGUCUCUGGACGCGGAGGCACUGGGAGUGAAGCACGCUUCCCAUGGUAACCUGGUAAACUUCCUCUUCACCUCCUGCUGCAACCCCGCCGAGGUCCGGCCCUUGAGCUCCAGCUCCCCUGUGCUUUCCCGGUUGAGGACCAGCCAGGCUCACCAUGCAGGGCGGGGGCCACAGGUGCCUGGCGUGUCUACUCCUCCACGCGGGGAUGCAGGGCAGGAGUCGCUUUGUCCUGGGUCCUACCACCACUGGGACGUGCGUGGAGAGAAUCUGCCUGCUGACUGUCACUGUCCCCUCCCCCUUCUCCUUCUAGUACUGGGGGUUGAACUCAAGGCCUUCACACUGAGAGGCUCCAGGCCAGGUGGGAAAAACACCGGGCAGAGGAGGAGUGGAGGCCCAUCCUGUUCUCCAUAUGCCAGACCCAGGACCUCCCAGUCUCUGUGGCAGAUGGGGCCGAAGAACCAGGAAGCCCCCAGCAGCCUGCAGCUCUGACACCACCUCCUCCAGGGGCUGCAGCUGCCUGGGGUCUUGGGGCAUGUGUGUGGGCCUGGGCUGAGCUGGAGAGCAUCUGGGUGAUCCCCCUUCCCCAGCCCUCAUGCCCUGGAGCACAACACUUCAGGGCCAUGGCUGCAGGGCCAGUGCUAGGAUGAGACGGGUCACCUGUCACACCUGGUGGGCACACCUGCUGGAGAGUGUGGGAAGGCUGGGGAGGGUCCGCAUUCUGGGCCUCCUCAUCUGAAGUGUCAUGUUCACGUGGCUGACUCAUCCAGGCCAGGGGUGGCUGCAGGAAAGAGUCCCUGCCCCUGCCCAGUGGUCAGGCAAAAGGUCGGGGCUGGCUGCCUCUCCCACCUGCCUGCAUUGGCAUCUCUGGAGCCACACUGCCCCCUGCUGCUGCCAGUGGAGGUGGCAGGAGCUGCUAGUCAGGCGGUUCCAGCUGCCCUGGUGCCCUGGUGAGCACAAGGGAAACCAGGUGGGCUCACGGCUGGAGCUCGGCCACUGCCAGCCAGGUCCUCUGUCCCCAAGGCGAGGGUGGCCAAGGCCAAGGUCAGGGCUGCAGGCAGGAAGACCCCCGCCCCAGCAGUCAGAGGCUUGGGGCUCAGCCAUACCUCUGGAAAGGGGCUGCAACCCCCAGCCCCUCUGCCCACUGCCUGUGGAACCAGGGUUGACUACUGGCCAGUGGACUGCUGGUCCAGGUCCUCGGGACUGCAGGGGCCUGGGCAGCCAGCAGCACCGCCCCCCCAGCAGCUCCUCUGAUCUGCUGUUUGUGUCCAUCUGUCUGUCCAUAAUUUUGAAUGCCCAAGACUUUUGAAACAGACUUGGCAAGUGAAGAUUCUUUUGUGUCUGUAGGGAGUAUCCGGGGCUCUGAACAAAGGCAGCGUUUCCCACCCCGCAGCACCACUGGGGCUUCCUGCACUGUGCCCCAUGGCCACCAGAGGGCGGGCGGUGGCCUGGACACUGGGACAGGUGUCCUAGGCAGGGAUGUGGG
This 2732-nucleotide long non-coding RNA is filed under the name Heterocephalus glaber (naked mole-rat). Its description in RNAcentral is "lncRNA (ENSHGLG00100045561.1)". The record is from RNAcentral. Lineage: Eukaryota; Metazoa; Chordata; Mammalia; Rodentia; Bathyergidae.